AUCCUUAUUAAUCUUCGGACUCGAAGACAAGCCUUAAAAUUAUUAUUAUUUUGCUGGUGAAUUAUUACCAUGUGUUCAUGCUUCGGUGUCUACUGUCCCGUACCAAAACAAAGGAAAUGGUCUUAACUCAGCUUCUCUACUCCUUACUUGCUCACACUGAACAUGAAAUUUAGCUAGCGGUCAACGAGUUUGCGUACGCUGGAGCC
Biomphalaria pfeifferi is the source of this 206-nucleotide non-coding RNA. NCBI's taxonomy places the organism in Eukaryota, Metazoa, Mollusca, Gastropoda, Planorbidae. The record is from the annotation of a GenBank genome assembly.